This is a long non-coding RNA of Pipistrellus kuhlii (Kuhl's pipistrelle), 895 nucleotides long. RefSeq lists it as uncharacterized. Lineage: Eukaryota; Metazoa; Chordata; Mammalia; Chiroptera; Vespertilionidae. The transcript has 2 exons. The record is from RefSeq and is a predicted model, not a curated record.
GCUCUAUCCACUGAGCCAAACCGGUCUCGGCUCACGUCAGUAUUUUUUCACAUCAGGCUAACCCCACUUCCAAGGCAGCCUCUUCCACACCGGAGGGGGAUACUUACAGAGGUUCAGACUCCCAGGAACAUCUACACGGUUGUGCUGAGCAAAGGUGCUAAGUGAUCACAUAGCCAACUGGGCCCAAAUGAAGAGGGUGUCUUCCUUGGAGCAGUCAGGAAAGAGGACAACUGCCCAAACCCCUGGCACAUCCCUGCUGGCAAAGGGGCACUGCUGUGCUGAUGGUGGUCAUCGGGCAGCGGUAAAGGAAUCCUGACCUUAGUCUUGGCAUUUGGCUGGCUUUUGGCCUGGGGCCACAUGGACCAGACUGUUGGAAGGUUCAGUGUCACUUCUGUUCAUGCAAGAUCUACUCCCUGGGUAUCCUAAGAACACGGUGCCCACAAGUUCAAGAAGAAAACCAGAGGGAAAAGCAUUAAUUGUACUAAGACAUUUAUUACAUCAUAAAAAGUUCACUGUUGUCCUGUUUUUCCAUAUGUACAUGUUUCUGUGGGCAAUCCCCCCUGUCCAGCCCCAUCUAUCCACCCUUAAUGCCAAUCAGCUCUUCAAACUGACCAACAAAUUAGUAAAAGAGCAAGAACUGGAGGUGGCGGCCCAGAGCUGAUGGGAGUGGGGAUGGGAGAGGGAAACAAAGUGCAGAGUGGUUGGCUUGGCUCUCAAUGCCUAACCAUGGGCAGGAGGGACACAAGGGCAGGCACUGCAGGGCUGGCACAGUGAUGCCUCCCCAGAGCUAUCAGGCGGCAGGUGAUACCUGAGUGUGCUCUCAGGUUGGACCCCCAAGAAUGGAGAGCAGAGGAGGAAGGUCCUGCAGCCUGACUGUGGGUCCCAGGAAGGGCUA